GACGAACGCUGGCGGCGUGCUUAACACAUGCAAGUCGAACGGAAAGGCCCUGCUUUUGUGGGGUGCUCGAGUGGCGAACGGGUGAGUAACACGUGAGUAACCUGCCCUUGACUUUGGGAUAACUUCAGGAAACUGGGGCUAAUACCGGAUAGGAGCUCCUGCUGCAUGUUGUGGGUUGGAAAGUUUCGGCGGUUGGGGAUGGACUCGCGGCUUAUCAGCUUGUUGGUGUGGUAGUGGCUUACCAAGGCUUUGACGGGUAGCCUGCCUGAGAGGGGUACCGGCCACAUGGGGACUGAGAUACGGACCAGAAGGCUACGGGAGGCAGCAGGGGGGAAUAUUGCACAAUGGGGGGAAGCCUGAUGCAGCAACGCCGGGUGCGGGAUGACGGGCUUCGGGUUGUAAACAGAUGUGGCAGGUGACGAAGCGUGAGUGACGGUAAUGGGUAAAGAAGCACCGGCUAACUACGUG
Molecule: ribosomal RNA, 468 nt
Filed under: uncultured bacterium
Lineage: Bacteria
Description: partial 16S ribosomal RNA
Rfam family: Bacterial small subunit ribosomal RNA
Source: RNAcentral